AACGAACGCUGGCGGCAUGCCUAACACAUGCAAGUCGAACGAAGGCUUCGGCCUUAGUGGCGCACGGGUGCGUAACGCGUGGGAAUCUGCCCUUAGGUUCGGAAUAACAGUUAGAAAUGACUGCUAAUACCGGCUGAUGACGUAAGUCCAAAGAUUUAUCGCCUGAGGAUGAGCCCGCGUAGGAUUAGCUGGUUGGUGUGGUAAAGGCGCACCAAGGCGACGAUCCUUAGCUGGUCUGAGAGGAUGAUCAGCCACACUGGGACUGAGACACGGCCCAGACUCCUACGGGAGGCAGCAGUGGGGAAUAUUGGACAAUGGGCGCAAGGCUGAUCCAGCAAUGCCGCGUGAGUGAUGAAGGCCUUAGGGUUGUAAAGCUCUUUUACCCGUGAUGAUAAUGACAGUAGCGGGAGAAUAAGCCCCGGCUAACUCCGUG
This 433-nucleotide ribosomal RNA is filed under the name uncultured bacterium. Its description in RNAcentral is "partial 16S ribosomal RNA". It matches the Rfam family "Bacterial small subunit ribosomal RNA", at positions 29 to 507 of the family's 1533-position model. The record is from RNAcentral.